Molecule: ribosomal RNA, 465 nt
Filed under: Vreelandella stevensii
Lineage: Bacteria; Pseudomonadati; Pseudomonadota; Gammaproteobacteria; Oceanospirillales; Halomonadaceae
Description: partial 16S ribosomal RNA
Rfam family: Bacterial small subunit ribosomal RNA
Source: RNAcentral
CCUACGGGGUGCAGCAGUGGGGAAUAUUGGACAAUGGGCGAAAGCCUGAUCCAGCCAUGCCGCGUGUGUGAAGAAGGCCUUCGGGUUGUAAAGCACUUUCAGUGGGGAAGAAAGCCUUGGGGCUAAUACCCUCGAGGAAGGACAUCACCCCCAGAAGAAGCACCGGCUAACUCCGUGCCAGCAGCCGCGGUAAUACGGAGGGUGCGAGCGUUAAUCGGAAUUACUGGGCGUAAAGCGCGCGUAGGCGGUCUGAUAAGCCGGUUGUGAAAGCCCCGGGCUCAACCUGGGAACGGCAUCCGGAACGGUCAGGCUAGAGUGCAGGAGAGGAAGGUAGAAUUCCCGGUGUAGCGGUGAAAUGCGUAGAGAUCGGGAGGAAUACCAGUGGCGAAGGCGGCCUUCUGGACUGACACUGACGCUGAGGUGCGAAAGCGUGGGUAGCAAACAGGAUUAGAUACCCCUGUAGUC